Molecule: ribosomal RNA, 797 nt
Filed under: uncultured Glomus
Lineage: Eukaryota; Fungi; Glomeromycota; Glomeromycetes; Glomerales; Glomeraceae
Description: SSU rRNA
Rfam family: Eukaryotic small subunit ribosomal RNA
Source: RNAcentral
AUCAACUUUCGAUGGUAGGAUAGAGGCCUACCAUGGUGGUAACGGGUAACGGGGUGUUAGGGCACGGCACCGGAGAGGGAGCCUGAGAAACGGCUACCACAUCCAAGGAUGGCAGCAGGCGCGCAAAUUACCCAAUCCCGACACGGGGAGGUAGUGACAAUAAACAACAAUACGGGGUCCUUUCGGGUUUCGUAAUUGGAAUGAGUACAAUUUAAAUCUCUUAACGAGGAACAAUUGGAGGGCAAGUCUGGUGCCAGCAGCCGCGGUAAUUCCAGCUCCAAUAGCGUAUAUUAAAGUUGUUGCAGUUAAAAAGCUCGUAGUUGAAUUUCGGGAUUAGUGCGCCGGUCGUGCCUUCGGUAUGUACCGGUGUUACUGGUUCCUACCUUCUGACGAACCGUCAUGUCAUUAAUUUGGUGUGGCGGGGAAUCAGGACUGUUACUUUGAAAAAAUUAGAGUGUUUAAAGCAGGCUCGCGCUUGAAUACAUUAGCAUGGAAUAAUGAAAUAGGACGUUCGAUCCUAUUUUGUUGGUUUCUAGGAUUGACGUAAUGAUUAAUAGGGAUAGUUGGGGGCAUUAGUAUUCAAUUGUCAGAGGUGAAAUUCUUGGAUUUAUUGAAGACUAACUACUGCGAAAGCAUUUGCCAAGGAUGUUUUCAUUAAUCAAGAACGAAAGUUAGGGGAUCGAAGACGAUCAGAUACCGUCGUAGUCUUAACCAUAAACUAUGCCGACUAGGGAUCGGAUGAUGUUAUUUUUAAUGACUCAUUCGGCGCCUUACGGGAAACCAAAGUGUUUGGGUUC